RNAcentral lists this ribosomal RNA (381 nucleotides) under uncultured marine Chaetocerotaceae. RNAcentral's name for it is "SSU rRNA". It matches the Rfam family "Eukaryotic small subunit ribosomal RNA", at positions 587 to 972 of the family's 1831-position model. Lineage: Eukaryota; Bacillariophyta; Thalassiosirophyceae; Chaetocerotales; Chaetocerotaceae. The record is from RNAcentral.
AGCUCCAAUAGCGUAUAUUAAAGUUGCUGCAGUUAAAAAGCUCGUAGUUGCAUUUCCGAGGCAAGGGAUUAGUCCGACCUUUGGUGGGUAUUUAAUCCUCUUGCCUCGUCCUUGAGUGGUGCUUCUUGGUAUUAAGUUAUCGAGGAGAUAGCCGCUCAUCGUUUACUGUGAGAAAAUUAGAGUGUUCAAAGCAGGCUUAUGCCGUUGAAUAUAUUAGCAUGGAAUAAUAAGAUAGGACCUCGGUACUAUUUUGGUGGUUUGAGAACCAAGGUAAUGAUGAAUAGGGACAGUUGGGAGUAUUCGUAUUCAGUUGUCAGAGGUGAAAUUCUUAGAUUUACGGAAGACGAACUACUGCGAAAGCAUUUACCAAGGAUGUUUUCA